Molecule: ribosomal RNA, 439 nt
Filed under: uncultured bacterium
Lineage: Bacteria
Description: bacterial SSU rRNA
Rfam family: Bacterial small subunit ribosomal RNA
Source: RNAcentral
ACUCCUACGGGAGGCAGCAGUGGGGAAUAUUGCACAAUGGGCGCAAGCCUGAUGCAGCCAUGCCGCGUGUAUGAAGAAGGCCUUCGGGUUGUAAAGUACUUUCAGCAGUGAGGAAGGUGGGUAUGUUAAUAGCAUAUUCUAUUUGUACGUUAGCUGCAGAAGAAGCACCGGCUAACUCCGUGCCAGCAGCCGCGGUAAUACGGAGGGUGCGAGCGUUAAUCGGAAUUACUGGGCGUAAAGCGCAUGCAGGUGGUUGUUAAGUCAGAUGUGAAAGCCCGGGGCUCAACCUCGGAAUUGCAUUUGAAACUGGCAAACUAGAGUACUGUAGAGGGGGUAGAAUUUCAGGUGUAGCGGUGAAAUGCGUAGAGAUCUGAAGGAUACCGGUGGCGAAGGCGGCCCCUGGACAGAUACUGACACUCAGAUGCGAAAGGCUGGGAGC